AUGAAUGAAUGUAACAAUACCUAUUGUUUCCCAGGUAUUAAAUGCAGUGUUCAGCUGGAACAAUCUGGAAGUUAUAUGAAAAGCCCUGGAGACUCCCUCUCUAUUUCCUGCAAAGGGUCCGGUUUUAACUUUGGAAGCUAUGGCAUGCAUUGGGUGAGACAAGCUCCAGGAAAAAGAAAGGAAUGGAUUGCAGUUAUUUGGUAUGAUGCCAGUAAGCAAGAAUACACAGAAUCUGUCAAGGGACGCUUCACCAUCUCCAGGGACAAUGCCAAAAGUCUUGUGUAUCUGCAAAUGAACAGCCUCAAACCAGAGGACACGGCUGUCUAUUACUGUACGAGAUACACAGUGAGAGGAAGUGAAUCUGAAGCCUAUCAAGAACUUUCUCGCUCUCUGAGCAGUUCUCCAAAUUGA
Molecule: non-coding RNA, 411 nt
Organism: Protobothrops mucrosquamatus (brown spotted pit viper)
Lineage: Eukaryota; Metazoa; Chordata; Lepidosauria; Squamata; Viperidae
Source: the annotation of a RefSeq genome assembly